RNAcentral lists this ribosomal RNA (708 nucleotides) under Triticum aestivum (bread wheat). RNAcentral describes it as "partial small subunit ribosomal RNA". The record is from RNAcentral. Lineage: Eukaryota; Viridiplantae; Streptophyta; Magnoliopsida; Poales; Poaceae.
AUGAUUCACUUUGCAAGCUGCAAGGAACAAGAAUACACCACCAGCAUCGAUCAGGUAGCAGGAGCAAUGACAGGGUUUCCCUCUCCAUGCGGCGCAUGCAAGUUCCUUCGGAGGAAGUGCGUGAAUGGGUGUGUCUUCGCCCCACACUUCUGCCAUGAGCAAGGGGCUGCACAUUUUGCCGCCAUCCAUAAGGUCUUUGGUGCAAGCAAUGUCUCAAAGCUCCUCACGGGCCUCCCGUCAAUCGACCGCCGCGAGGCUGCAGCCACCAUCUCCUACGAGGCACAGGCCAGGCUACAUGAUCCUGUAUAUGGUUGCGUCGCGCACAUAUUUGCUCUGCAGCAGCAGGUUGUGAAUCUGCAAGCACGGUUGGAGUCACUAAAGGCUCAGGCACCACAAGAGUAUACUUAUUCCGUAUCAAGCCCUGAAGAAGAUAGUAUUAAGGCCAAGGUUAUGGCUUACCAGAAAGGGGAAGCUAGGAUGCCACGGCCAGCAGAAUUAUGCCCCGCUGUAAAGAGUGAGGGCGAAAGCUACUUCGGCAAUGACCUUAUGACCUGUACUUCCAUGCAAUCUUCUCAGGAUUACAGCAUGUCACAUGUAUACACACCUGACUAUACAGCCCCGUUUAACGAUGAGGGUAUCCACAGUAGCACCAUGUUUCCCGUCGAUAUCCAAGAAUAUCUGCAAGAGAAUGGGAAUUAUUGGCACUGA